UAGGUACCCAACCGAAGAAGUCCCGGCUAACUUCGUGCCAGCAGCCGCGGUAAUACGAAGGGGGCUAGCGUUACUCGGAAUUAUUGGGCGUAAAGCGUGCGUAGGCUGCUUAGUAAGUCAAAAGUGAAAGCCUUGGGCUCAACCUAAGAAUUGCUUUUGAAACUACUAAGCUUGAGUACUGUAGGGGGUAGCGGAACUCCUAGUGUAGGGGUGAAAUUCGUAGAUAUUAGGAGGAACACCGGAGGCGAAAGCGGUUAUCUGGACAGUCACUGACGCUGUUGCACGAAAGCGUGGGGAGCAAACAGGNUUAGAUACCCUGGUAGUCCACGCUGUAAACGAUGAGUGCUAAA
Molecule: ribosomal RNA, 350 nt
Filed under: Candidatus Midichloria mitochondrii
Lineage: Bacteria; Pseudomonadati; Pseudomonadota; Alphaproteobacteria; Rickettsiales; Candidatus Midichloriaceae
Description: bacterial SSU rRNA
Rfam family: Bacterial small subunit ribosomal RNA
Source: RNAcentral